AAGAAAACAGCAGCGGAAUUAACGGUCUAGCGAUGGCUUCAGCUCCACUCCCACAUGCAGCUCAACUGGGGUAUAAGCCAAACGUCUUCUCCUUCUGGAUCCUUUAUCUUCAACUGAGGUUUGAUGAUUAUUGCAAGAAUGAGCAUAUGACAUACUCAACAAGCCACACAGCAAAUAUGCAAGUGCACAAGGAUACCAAAGGAUGGCAUAAUAUAGGCUCAUUUGCAAAAGCAGCAUUUAGCAAAACAUUUAAGAGUAGUAAAACAGUAGAGUAAUUAAUUAAAAAUUUUAAUCAACACUGAACAGCACACCCAUGCUGCACAGGCCCAACCAUCCUGAACAACCAUACCCGGCUGUACAGAUCUAACUCCAAACCAGGAGCUAAGCAAAUUAUUACCAGGUAUAACAUCCAUAAUUAUUGUGAGAGGUGUGAGACUAAUCACGAAAAACAUUGCUCAACCCACCCAUAACCGCGGGCACGGCUAUUCGAAUAGUUUUACUCUGGCCAGAGGUGUACCACUGUACCCACAAGACACAACCCCACAUCAUGUCACCAUGUGCCUCAAUACCACCACGGUACCUCGGAAAAGAGUUGUGACAAUACCCCUUGCACAACAUAAUCCAUUACAGCGCACCUUUCCUGGAUCAUAAUCACCCCCUCAAAAACCAGAGGCAUGGACUCCCCAGCGACCCCCGUGGACUUCUCGCCACUUCUCAGUCUGGCGCACUAUAAUGAAUCACGCUAUACAAAAGAUAAAGCCGUUGCCCACGCUGGCUUGUGGUUGGCACGAUAAAUGUUUCACAACAGUAGCUCGCGAACCGGUCCUUAAUUGUCAUGAGCACGACUCUCAAAACCAUGUGCUCACAACCCACCAUUAUCAAGUUUUAGUUGGCAAGUAAUUAAUUAACCAAUCACGAUUGACCAUCGUGAACUAUCAUUAAGCCAUCCUUAAAUAAUAGUGAGUCAUAAGUUAUCCCAAUAGUGUGCUAAUGUUUCUAAGCAUGGCUAAGCAAUCAUAACUAAUAUCUAGCUGAACCAAUAUAUAAAGCCCAACUAGUCAAGUUAUAAUAACCCAAGGUAUCAAGGAAUAAAGUAAUCAAUGCAAAUUGGCCAUAACAAAGGAAUAAGUUCACACCACCCGGUGACAUUCGAAAAUAAAUGCACAGUUGAAAUAAAUAGAGAAUUUAAAUAUAGGAUCAACAUGCUCAAAGGAUUGUGUUUAGGAUCUGUGUGACUUGCCUUGCAAUAAUCGGUCUUCAAGUAAUCUUCUUGAUCACUUCCGACGCACUCACGAACCUUCGCAACGACGGAAACGACAAGCUAACACGCAAAACGAAGAAAAAGACUAAUAAAAACCAAAUAAACAGUACAUAUAAAGUAAACAAACAUGUAGAUCAUGAUUUUAGAUGAAUUUAGCAACUUGAACCACUCAAAACCGAGUUACGAUGAUUUAGUUAUGAAUUUCCGAAGAUUUAAUCUAUUAGAAAAACAGGAAAAAGAAAAACGAUGAUGACAUCAUGAUGACCUCAUCAAUGGCCGGACCAAGAUGGCGACCUCGCCGGAGAUUGGAUGGUCGGCUGCGACUUUGGAGGACAUGUACACGUAGAGGACGACGAGACGAACCCAACGGUACUCACCCUCGAACCAAACGACGAACGACGACGGCCGGCGACGAGGUCUAGCGGCGGCACGGCUUCGGUCGACGGCGGCGACGGGGCUCCGGUGACCGGCGACAGCGGGGAGAGAGCGGCCGGGCUUCUCCACCCUCCCGCGCACCUUACGGCGGUGACAGCGACCGGCGGCG
Molecule: long non-coding RNA, 1805 nt
Filed under: Oryza sativa (Asian cultivated rice)
Lineage: Eukaryota; Viridiplantae; Streptophyta; Magnoliopsida; Poales; Poaceae
Description: long non-coding RNA (OSAT_LNC000232)
Source: RNAcentral